UUUUUUUUUUUUUUUUUUUUUUUUUUUGUCUUUCUGUCUUUUCUUGAGCUGCUCCCGAGGCAUAUGGAGGUUCCCAAGCUAGGGGUCGAAUCGGAGCUGUAGCCAUCGGCCUACACCAGAGCCACAGCUCACAGCAAUGCCAGAUCCUUCACCCACUAAGCAAGGCCAGGGAUCGAACCCGCAACCUCAUGGUUCCUAGUCGGAUUCAUUAACCACUGCGCCACGACGGGAACUCCAGAGUGUAUUUUAUUUUUAAAACAUUAACUUUGCAGAGGAAAACAGGCAGUUAAAAAUUAAUUAAAUUAAUAAACAAAAUGAGUAAAGAAAACAUCUGCGCGCUUGCAUGCGUGCGCACACACACACACACACACACACACACAGCAGGGCUUCUGCAUACCAAACUCGAACGGAGUGGAGAGGAAAGGUUUGUCCUCUCCCAGGUGGAGAAGGAAAGAACUAUCCAAUUAGACUGAUGUACUGGACGGGCCAUCGCCUCCGAGGUACACAGAAGUCAAGGGCAAAUUCUUUGUCCUGAACACCAAGCCGAGCCUGAGCUCUCUACUCACAAACUAGGGCCUCCCCAGCACAAACCCACCGGGCAGCGACCUCGGAGGACAUGACUGUAAAAGCAGCCGCCGCUCUGCUGGAAUAGGCAGUCAAUCAAUCCUCAGUUUUGUCUGCACAAAGCUCACAAAGUAGACAGGGCGCCCCCGCCACGCCGCACCCCCCCGUGAUGGACAGAGCUGUUGUGUGUGGAGCGGAACACUUCUUAUUCUAAAACCUUGUCUGAUACCAAUUCACACGCCAUGUGGUCAGCCAGCAAGCUAACCAACCAAGGGGAGAGGUUCCAAGCUCCGGGCUGAAAUCCAUACAGUGACUCAGCCCUCGGGUCCAGUAUACCUCCCGGGAGCAAGAGAAAAGGCCCCCACGGAAGGGUACUGGAUCUGGGUCCCUGCAGUGCACUCUGGCUCUGCAACUUCAGGCAAGGCACUUGACCUCUCUGGGCCUCAAGUGCAUCAUCCCUCUACAUGCUGGACAAGAUAGCGAAGACACGUUACUUUGGAUGGUCUAUUUCUGCAGGUGCCGAAUUCCAUCUGGCACUCAGUAGAACACUCAAAUAACUAUUAAGGAUUUUUUUUCUUUUUUUAAACUCCUACCUCCCAUCAUUUUAUUACCCUAUCACAAAUGCUCUGGGGAUGAGCGGUACUAUUGCAACUUCAGGACAGUAAGAAAGCAUGCAUACUGCAGUGGAGAAGGCAAAGUCCUUAAAACGGCUUCCACCUUCUCCCCCAACUUCACCUGAACCACUAAGCACCACGCCCUCACACCUCCAUAGAGCAGAACAGCCUCGUGGUUAAAAAUCAGGCCGCUUGAAUUCAAAUCCCACCUCUUCACAUCCUGGCCAGGCGAUCUGGGCGAGUCACCUCACCAGCAGAUGCCUCAAUCUCUCCAUCUAUAAACAAGGAUAAAAUAAGUACCCUCGUAGAGGGCUGUUGUGAAGAUGAAAUGAGUGGAAAUAAGUAAAGCAUUUAGAAUGGAGCCUGGCGGGGCUUAAUAAAUGUUAAUAUAUGCUAGCUAUUAUUAUCCAUUCAUCCAACAAACUCUUACUGGGUAUUUAUUCUAACAGUGCCAGUUACUCUUGAAGACUCCAAGGAAACACAAAAAUAUCGAAUAGGACACAAUCCAGGACCCUUACGGUCUAGUGGGAAGAGGCCAACUUGAUCCAGUAAAUUCAAGCCCAUGAUGCCUUCUCCAAAGCUCUUGGGCCAGAAGGGUCUGGAGGUAGAUGCUUCUGGUUUCAGAGAGAUAAUGGGUACAUACACCUUUAUUAUAAGGCAUUCAUCUCCCCCUCUUCCCACUCCCCCUCCCUGGGGCCUAGAGCAGCAUCUGGGAUCAACCACUUGCACGGCCACACUAAGAGGGAUCAGGAGAUGCCACCAAGAGUCUCAAGACUGUUCAGGUAGAAUUUUGCAGCCAAACGAGUUACAAAGCCCAACCUCUGGCUUUCAGAACUUUUUUUUUUUUUUUUUUUUGUCAUUCUUUUUGUCUUUUCCAGGGCUGCACCUGAGGCAUAUGGAAGUUCCCAGGCUAGGGAUCUAAUUGGAACUGAGGCCACCGGCCUACGCCAGUGUCUACGGCUCCGAAUGGACCCCUAGCCUGCGAAUCUCCAUAUGCCGCAGGAGCGUCCCUAGAAAAAGACAAAAAAAAAAAAAGUAAGAAAGAAAAAG
Molecule: long non-coding RNA, 2228 nt
Filed under: Sus scrofa (pig)
Lineage: Eukaryota; Metazoa; Chordata; Mammalia; Artiodactyla; Suidae
Description: lncRNA (ENSSSCG00055016251.1)
Source: RNAcentral